AUUCGCGGCCUAUCAGCUUGUUGGUGGGGUAAUGGCCUACCAAGGCGACGACGGGUAGCCGGCCUGAGAGGGUGACCGGCCACACUGGGACUGAGACACGGCCCAGACUCCUACGGGAGGCAGCAGUGGGGAAUAUUGCACAAUGGGCGGAAGCCUGAUGCAGCGACGCCGCGUGAGGGAUGACGGCCUUCGGGUUGUAAACCUCCUUCAGUAGGGAAGAAGCGAGAGUGACGGUACCUGCAGAAGAAGCGCCGGCUAACUACGUGCCAGCAGCCGCGGUAAUACGUAGGGCGCAAGCGUUAUCCGGAAUUAUUGGGCGUAAAGAGCUCGUAGGCGGUUUGUCGCGUCUGCCGUGAAAGUCCGGGGCUCAACCCCGGAUCUGCGGUGGGUACGGGCAGACUAGAGUGCUGUAGGGGAGACUGGAAUUCCUGGUGUAGCGGUGAAAUGCGCAGAUAUCAGGAGGAACACCGAUGGCGAAGGCAGGUCUCUGGGCAGUAACUGACGCUGAGGAGCGAAAGCAUGGGGAGCGAACAAGAUUAGAUACCCUGGUAGUCCAUGCCGUAAACGUUGGGCACUAGAUGUGGGGGACAUUCCACGUUCUCCGCGUCGUAGCUAACGCAUUAAGUGCCCCGCCUGGGGAGUACGGAAU
Molecule: ribosomal RNA, 649 nt
Filed under: uncultured Actinomycetes bacterium
Lineage: Bacteria; Bacillati; Actinomycetota; Actinomycetes
Description: bacterial SSU rRNA
Rfam family: Bacterial small subunit ribosomal RNA
Source: RNAcentral